RNAcentral lists this ribosomal RNA (292 nucleotides) under Muribaculaceae bacterium. Its description in RNAcentral is "partial 23S ribosomal RNA". It matches the Rfam family "Bacterial large subunit ribosomal RNA", at positions 2621 to 2925 of the family's 2925-position model. The record is from RNAcentral. Lineage: Bacteria; Pseudomonadati; Bacteroidota; Bacteroidia; Bacteroidales; Muribaculaceae.
GUGAGACAGUUCGGUCUCUAUCUGUUGUGGGCGUAGGAGAUUUGCGAGGCCCCGACACUAGUACGAGAGGACCGUGUCGGACAGACCUCCGGUGUACCGGUUGUUCCGCCAGGAGCACCGCCGGGUAGCCGAGUCUGGCCAGGAUAAGUGCUGAAAGCAUCUAAGCACGAAGCCCCCCUCAAGAUAAGAUCUCCAUACAGGGCCGUCAGAGACGAUGACGUCGAUAGGCCGCAGGUGCAGGGACGGUAACGUCUAUAGCCGAGCGGUACUAAUAGCCCGAACCCUUUCCUUG